This 713-nucleotide ribosomal RNA is filed under the name uncultured bacterium. Its description in RNAcentral is "bacterial SSU rRNA". It matches the Rfam family "Bacterial small subunit ribosomal RNA", at positions 41 to 750 of the family's 1533-position model. The record is from RNAcentral.
GGCGGGCCAAAACAUGCAAGUCGAGCGGUACAUUUCUAGCUUGCUAGAAGAUGACGAGCGGCGGACGGGUGAGAAAUGCUUGGGAAUAUGCCUUAGGGUGGGGGACAACAGUUGGAAACGACUGCUAAUACCGCAUAACGUCUACGGACCAAAGGGGGCUUCGGCUCUCGCCCUUAGAUUAGCCCAAGUGGGAUUAGCUAGUUGGUGAGGUAAUGGCUCACCAAGGCGACGAUCCCUAGCUGGUUUGAGAGGAUGAUCAGCCACACUGGAACUGAGACACGGUCCAGACUCCUACGGGAGGCAGCAGUGGGGAAUAUUGCACAAUGGGCGCAAGCCUGAUGCAGCCAUGCCGCGUGUGUGAAGAAGGCCUUAGGGUUGUAAAGCACUUUCAGUAAGGAGGAAAGGUUAGUAGUUAAUACCUGCUAGCUGUGACGUUACUUACAGAAGAAGCACCGGCUAACUCCGUGCCAGCAGCCGCGGUAAUACGGAGGGUGCGAGCGUUAAUCGGAAUUACUGGGCGUAAAGCGUACGCAGGCGGUUUGUUAAGCGAGAUGUGAAAGCCCCGGGCUCAACCUGGGGAACUGCAUUUCGAACUGGCAAGCUAGAGUAUGAUAGAGGGUGGUAGAAUUUCAGGUGUAGCGGUGAAAUGCGUAGAGAUCUGAAGGAAUACCGAUGGCGAAGGCAGCCACCUGGGGUCAAUACUGGACGCUCAU